This 285-nucleotide long non-coding RNA is filed under the name Elaeis guineensis (African oil palm). RNAcentral describes it as "long non-coding RNA (EGUI_LNC029829)". Lineage: Eukaryota; Viridiplantae; Streptophyta; Magnoliopsida; Arecales; Arecaceae. The record is from RNAcentral.
GCAUAGGGCAUCGGCUCCCGACCAUAUUUUCCACCGUUCACUUCAUGCAAACCAAACGAGUCCUGAGUCUUGAACUGGGACCGUUUCCAAAAGAAAAGAUUAUUUGACACUCUGGAUUAUUUCCAGGUAGGAAAAUCAGGGUCGAUGAACCAAUGCUAUAUAGUACAAAUUUCCAAUGAUCUUGCCGGCCGACAUGGUACUAUGAGGGGUCAAAGCUGUACCUUGACUUUCAGAUCAGCACAUGUCCCUUAAAAAUAAAUAAAUAAAUAAAUCACAAGGACACCC